Molecule: long non-coding RNA, 495 nt
Organism: Onychomys torridus (southern grasshopper mouse)
Lineage: Eukaryota; Metazoa; Chordata; Mammalia; Rodentia; Cricetidae
Exons: 4
Source: RefSeq, a predicted model, not a curated record
CAGUGUGCUAACUGCGUGCUCUGUUUUAGCCUGGGCUUGUGCUGGGAAAUCUCCAAUUGGCUUCAAACCUGAGAUUCUCCUUUCUUAGCUUCUACAGUUCUUGAAUAAAAGGGUCUCAUAUACCCGAGGCUGACCUCGGAAGCACCAUGUAGCCUCGGAUGUCCUCCAUCUUGUCUCUACCUCCUGAGUGCUAAGAUCACAGGUGUGCACUUCUUCUACACUUAUUCAUGUACUUCUGCAAAUGGAGCCCAAGGCUUUGUGUAUGAUGGGUAAGUGUGGAUAAGGAGAAGAAGGCACACACGGCAUUCAUAGAACAUGUUCUCCGAUGAUGAGAGACGAAACAGACACAUCAGCCUUAACUUAUCUGGGGGAGUGAACUUCUAUUUGGGGGCCAACUAACCUUAGAAAUAGCAAAUAACAUGGCUAGAACCACCUUUGACAUCUAAACCAACAAACCCAACCCAUGCCCACCCCUCUCUCUUAUUAUUCAGGUCC